GCCUGGGUGGCUUAGUUGGUUGAGCAUCCGACUUCGGCUCGGGUCAUGAUCUCACGGGUUGUGAGUUUGAGCCCCGUAUCAGGCU
Molecule: transfer RNA, 85 nt
Organism: Felis catus (domestic cat)
Lineage: Eukaryota; Metazoa; Chordata; Mammalia; Carnivora; Felidae
Rfam family: tRNA
About the family: Transfer RNA (tRNA) molecules are approximately 80 nucleotides in length.
Source: Rfam